RNAcentral lists this ribosomal RNA (253 nucleotides) under uncultured bacterium. RNAcentral describes it as "partial 16S ribosomal RNA". It matches the Rfam family "Bacterial small subunit ribosomal RNA", at positions 524 to 776 of the family's 1533-position model. The record is from RNAcentral.
UACGUAGGGGGCAAGCGUUGUCCGGAAUCAUUGGGCGUAAAGAGCGCGUAGGCGGCCCAGUAAGUCCGCUCUGAAAGUCAGGGGCUCAACCCCUGAAUGCGGGUGGAUACUGCUGGGCUAGAGUCCGGAAGAGGCGAGUGGAAUUCCUGGUGUAGCGGUGAAAUGCGCAGAUAUCAGGAGGAACACCAAUGGCGAAGGCAGCUCGCUGGGACGGUACUGACGCUAAGGCGCGAAAGCGUGGGGAGCAAACAGG